Molecule: ribosomal RNA, 410 nt
Filed under: uncultured microorganism
Description: bacterial SSU rRNA
Rfam family: Bacterial small subunit ribosomal RNA
Source: RNAcentral
GAGUUUGAUCCUGGCUCAGAUUGAACGCUGGCGGCAUGCCUUACACAUGCAAGUCGAACGGCAGCAUGAUCUGGCUUGCUAGAUUGAUGGCGAGUGGCGAACGGGUGAGUAAUACAUCGGAACGUGCCCUGUAGUGGGGAAUAACUAGUCGAAAGAUUAGCUAAAUACCGCAUACGACCUGAGGGUGAAGGUGGGGGACCGCAAGGCCUCAUGCUAUAGGAGCGGCCGAUGUCUGAUUAGCUAGUUGGUGGGGUAAAGGCCCACCAAGGCGACGAUCAGUAGCUGGUCUGAGAGGACGAUCAGCCACACUGGGACUGAGACACGGCCCAGACUCCUACGGGAGGCAGCAGUGGGAAUUUGGACGAUGGGCGAAAGCCUGAUCCAGCAAUGCCGCGUGUGUGAAGAAGGCC